Non-coding RNA from Nematostella vectensis (starlet sea anemone), 73 nucleotides. NCBI's taxonomy places the organism in Eukaryota, Metazoa, Cnidaria, Anthozoa, Actiniaria, Edwardsiidae. The record is from Rfam.
GUUUCCUUAGUGUAGUGGUUAUCACGUCUGCUUUACACGCAGAAGGUCCCCAGUUCGAGCCUCGGCGGAUACA